GACAGAGGUGCCAAGCGUUAGGCGGAAUCACUGGGCUUAAAGCGUGUGUAGGUGGAUUUGUAAGUACCUUGUGAAAUCCCACGGCUCAACCGUGGAACUGCUCGGUAUACUGCGAAUCUUGAGCCACUUAGGGGCUACCGGAACAAAUGGUGGAGCGGUGAAAUGCGUAGAUAUCAUUUGGAACGCCGAUGGUGAAAACAGGUAGCUGGGAGUGUGCUGACGCUGAGACACGAAAGCCAGGGGAGCGAACGGG
This 253-nucleotide ribosomal RNA is filed under the name uncultured bacterium. RNAcentral describes it as "partial 16S ribosomal RNA". It matches the Rfam family "Bacterial small subunit ribosomal RNA", at positions 524 to 776 of the family's 1533-position model. The record is from RNAcentral.